Bos taurus (domestic cattle) is the source of this 547-nucleotide long non-coding RNA. The record is from Ensembl. NCBI's taxonomy places the organism in Eukaryota, Metazoa, Chordata, Mammalia, Artiodactyla, Bovidae.
GGCCCCUCGGUCGCCUCAGCCCCCCAGCCCAGUUCGAGUGACCGCCUCCUGCCGCCGAAGGAGGGCAGUCCCCGCCCUCCGGCGCGCCCGGGCCGGCGCCUCGCCACCGACGCCGCCACACCCCCGGCCUCUCCCGGGCCCCAAUAGGCCGUUCCCUCGGCCGCCCCGCCUCCUGCGGCGACUGUCCCUGACGUCACUUCCGCCAACACCGGCGUGUGCCGGGGAGUUCUUGAGUGUGUUUUUGUUCUGUUGGACCUUGACCUGACUAGGAAAUCUUUACACCUUGCAGUUCCCCGCUUCUGGUCCCAAGAGUCUCCGGUGUCGUAGGAGCAAGGCUCAGUUUCCGAACUUUGUACCAAAGCCUUGUGAGCCUCCAGGUCAAGAGGCAUCAGGAGGCUAACAUCAAGCUGGACAUGGGAAACUAAGGAGCAAGUCUAAAACAGCACCUUUCCUGAUCUUAGAAGGAUAAUGUUAAGAAAGCUGAGCGCCGAAGAACUGAUGCUUUUGAACUGUGGUGUUGGAGAAGACUCUUGAGAGUCCCUGGGAC